AUUGAACGCUGGCGGCAGGCCUAACACAUGCAAGUCGAGCGGAUGAGAGGAGCUUGCUCCUCGAGUCAGCGGCGGACGGGUGAGUAAUGCCUAGGAAUCUGCCCAGUAGUGGGGGACAACGUUUCGAAAGGAACGCUAAUACCGCAUACGUCCUACGGGAGAAAGUGGGGGAUCUUCGGACCUCACGCUAUUGGAUGAGCCUAGGUCGGAUUAGCUAGUUGGUAGGGUAAAGGCCUACCAAGGCGACGAUCCGUAACUGGUCUGAGAGGAUGAUCAGUCACACUGGAAAGAAGACACGGUCCAGACUCCUACGGGAGGCAGCAGUGGGGAAUAUUGGACAAUGGGCGCAAGCCUGAUCCAGCCAUGCCGCGUGUGUGAAGAAGGCCCUCGGGUCGUAAAGCACUUUAAGUUGGGAGGAAGGGCUUACAGCGAAUACCUGUGAGUUUUGACGUUACCGACAGAAUAAGCACCGGCUAACUUCGUGCCAGCAGCAGCCGCCG
RNAcentral lists this ribosomal RNA (500 nucleotides) under uncultured bacterium. Its description in RNAcentral is "partial 16S ribosomal RNA". It matches the Rfam family "Bacterial small subunit ribosomal RNA", at positions 30 to 523 of the family's 1533-position model. The record is from RNAcentral.